Molecule: ribosomal RNA, 449 nt
Filed under: uncultured Kineosporiaceae bacterium
Lineage: Bacteria; Bacillati; Actinomycetota; Actinomycetes; Kineosporiales; Kineosporiaceae
Description: bacterial SSU rRNA
Rfam family: Bacterial small subunit ribosomal RNA
Source: RNAcentral
UAUCCUACGGGUGGCUGCAGUGGGGAAUAUUGCGCAAUGGGCGAAAGCCUGACGCAGCGACGCCGCGUGAGGGAUGAAGGCCUUCGGGUUGUAAACCUCUUUCAGCGCCGAAGAAGCGAAAGUGACGGUAGGCGCAGAAGAAGCACCGGCUAACUACGUGCCAGCAGCCGCGGUAAUACGUAGGGUGCAAGCGUUGUCCGGAAUUAUUGGGCGUAAAGAGCUCGUAGGCGGUUUGUCGCGUCUGCUGUGAAAACUCGGGGCUUAGCCCCGGGCUUGCAGUGGGUACGGGCAGACUAGAGUGCGGUAGGGGAGACUGGAAUUCCUGGUGUAGCGGUGAAAUGCGCAGAUAUCAGGAGGAACACCGGUGGCGAAGGCGGGUCUCUGGGCCGUAACUGACGCUGAGGAGCGAAAGCGUGGGGAGCGAACAGGAUUAGAUACCCUAGUAGUCC